GAUGAACGCUGGCGGCGUGCCUAAUACAUGCAAGUCGAGCGAACGGACGAGAAGCUUGCUUCUCUGAUGUUAGCGGCGGACGGGUGAGUAACACGUGGAUAACCUACCUAUAAGACUGGGAUAACUUCGGGAAACCGGAGCUAAUACCGGAUGGUAUUUUGAAACGGAAGGGUCCAAAAUUGAAAAAGGUCUUUCUGUUACUUAAUGAUUGGACCGCGCUGCAUUAGCUAGUUGGUAAGGUAAAGGCUUACCAAGGCAACGAUGCAUAGCCGACUUGAGAGGGUGAUCGGCCACACUGGAACUGAGACACGGUCCAGACUCCUACGGGAGGCAGCAGUAGGGAAUCUUCCGCAAUGGGCGAAAGCCUGACGGAGCAACGCCGCGUGAGUGAUGAAGGUCUUCGGAUCGUAAAACUCUGUUAUUAGGGAAGAACAUAUGUGUAAGUAACUGUGCACAUCUUGACGGUACCUAAUCAGAAAGCCACGGCUAACUACGUG
This 497-nucleotide ribosomal RNA is filed under the name uncultured bacterium. Its description in RNAcentral is "partial 16S ribosomal RNA". It matches the Rfam family "Bacterial small subunit ribosomal RNA", at positions 28 to 507 of the family's 1533-position model. The record is from RNAcentral.